GAUGAAACAACGCUAGCUGUGAUCAAGAAGAAGAGGCGCCGAAUUCAACCUUCACCUUGUGAGAGUGAUGAUGAUGAUGAUGAUGAUGAUAUAACUGGCAAAUUUCCUCCUGACCACAUGACAAGUUCUGCAGAAUCGCCAGCGUCAGGAGCGCCCAGGAACUCAAGAAGUCGCUCCCCGUUACCGAGGGUGUCCAGGGUCAUGGAAAAUUGCACCCCAGCAGCUAGGGCGUCCAGGGACGAGAGGCACACUCCUACACCAAGGGCAUCCAGGGAUGACAGGUGCACCCUGGCCCAUACGUCAUGGGACACGCCCACUCCCAGCACCUCAAGAACGCAGGAAACUCCGGAUAUAUAUAUCCCAUGAGUGUAGCUAAGUUCCAGAAAAAAGUCAUUCAGCUGCUGGUACAAAUCCGCAAUGGUGUGAACAAUAUAGCCUGCCAGCAGUCUGAAUCUUCCCAUCAGAACAUAGAGCC
Neoarius graeffei (lesser salmon catfish) is the source of this 475-nucleotide long non-coding RNA. RefSeq lists it as uncharacterized. The record is from RefSeq and is a predicted model, not a curated record. The transcript is spliced from 3 exons. Lineage: Eukaryota; Metazoa; Chordata; Actinopteri; Siluriformes; Ariidae.